Podarcis lilfordi (Lilford's wall lizard) is the source of this 809-nucleotide non-coding RNA. Lineage: Eukaryota; Metazoa; Chordata; Lepidosauria; Squamata; Lacertidae. The record is from the annotation of a GenBank genome assembly.
UGGGACUUCCGGGGUGGCGCCUCCGGAAAAUGGCGGAAUUCCCUUCGGACUGAAGGGAACCCGCUGCACGGAGGCUUGGGUCCUGCCGCUACGGCGCAGCGGGGACCCGCAAAAACCACAGGCGGAAGAAGCCUGUGGACGUGGGACUCGGCGGGCACCGAGAGCGCUCUCUCCCCUUGUACAGGAGCCCGGUAACGGGCUCCGGAGUGGGGGUGCGUGGUGCUGUGAGUCGUCUGCUUCCUCCGUGCAGCAAAGCCGCACUGCCGUUAUCGGAGAGCGCUGCCUUUUUCCUGGACAAUCUGGCAUCUAAAACAUCUAUCCGUGAGUACCUGAUCUUAGAAGAGCUGAACCACUUUUAAGACUGGUGAAUAAACAAACAAUAUUGGACUUGAAAUUGAACUUAAUUGGGACUCGGAAUGGGAAGGUCUAAACAGGAAGUCGCCUUCCGUUCUUUUGUUAUGUGAAGAAAGCAAAGACAAAAUAUACUAAAGCCUGAAAAUUAAAUUUUAAGAGAACUAGAAUUCAACAUCUAAGAUUUCUGAACCCCCCCUUUGACAGCAGGAGAAAAAGGGGGUUGUAUUUGGACCUUUCAAUCCUGCGGAAGUGAGUUUAAAAUAAAGCAAUUUUCCACCGCCCUGAACCAGGAGCGGGCUGUCAGAAUUGACGUUCUGAAGUUUAUCCAGCUCGACAGUUAGUUAAAAGAAGGGUAACAUUUUGAUUCUACUGUUGCCUCUUGAAUUUGGAAGGGGAAAUUUUGGAUAAAGUGUUUCUGGAAAAAGAAAGAUUGUUGCUGUUGCUUUUAUUCCUUU